Molecule: ribosomal RNA, 348 nt
Filed under: uncultured bacterium
Lineage: Bacteria
Description: bacterial SSU rRNA
Rfam family: Bacterial small subunit ribosomal RNA
Source: RNAcentral
GGGCCCGCACAAGCGGUGGAGUAUGUGGUUUAAUUCGAUGCAACGCGAAGAACCUUACCAGGGUUUGACAUCCUGCGAAUCUCUUGGAAACGAGAGAGUGCCUUCGGGAACGCAGUGACAGGUGGUGCAUGGCUGUCGUCAGCUCGUGUCGUGAGAUGUUGGGUUAAGUCCCGCAACGAGCGCAACCCACGUCUUUAGUUGCCAGCAUUUAGUUGGGCACUCUAGAGAGACUGUCGGUGAUAAACCGGAGAAGUGGGGACGACGUCAAGUCAUCAUGGCCCUUACGAGUAGGGCUACGACACGUGCUACAAUGGCGCAUACAGAGGGCAGCCAACUUGCGAGAGUGAG